This 54-nucleotide transfer RNA is filed under the name Ortleppascaris sinensis. Its description in RNAcentral is "tRNA-Ser". The record is from RNAcentral. Lineage: Eukaryota; Metazoa; Nematoda; Chromadorea; Rhabditida; Ascarididae.
AAACUAACUUUUAUGUUUUGAAAACAUAAUUUAAGGAUUUUUCCUUUUAGUUUG